Molecule: transfer RNA, 71 nt
Filed under: Hungatella hathewayi
Lineage: Bacteria; Bacillati; Bacillota; Clostridia; Lachnospirales; Lachnospiraceae
Also listed under: 11 other names
Rfam family: tRNA
About the family: Transfer RNA (tRNA) molecules are approximately 80 nucleotides in length. Their secondary structure includes four short double-helical elements and three loops (D, anti-codon, and T loops).
Source: RNAcentral
GGGGUAUAGCUCAGCUGGGAGAGCGCUUGAAUGGCAUUCAAGAGGUCAUGGGUUCGAAUCCCACUAUCUCC